Molecule: non-coding RNA, 30 nt
Organism: Clostridia bacterium 41_269
Lineage: Bacteria; Bacillati; Bacillota; Clostridia
Source: Rfam
GUUUCAAUUCCUCAUGGGUAGGCUGAAAAC